Molecule: ribosomal RNA, 503 nt
Filed under: uncultured bacterium
Lineage: Bacteria
Description: partial 16S ribosomal RNA
Rfam family: Bacterial small subunit ribosomal RNA
Source: RNAcentral
ACUCAAAGGAAUUGACGGGGGCUCACACAAGCGGUGGAGCAUGUGGCUUAAUUCGAGGCUACGCGCAGAACCUUAUCCCGGGCUUGACAUGCACGGAUUAGCCGGCGGAAACGUCGGCGACGCGCAAGUGGAACGUGCACAGGUGCUGCAUGGCUGUCGUCAGCUCGUGCCGUGAGGUGUUGGGUUAAGUCCCGUAACGAGCGAAACCCCUGUGAUUAGUUGCCAGCGGGUCACGCCGGGCACUCUAAUCAGACCGCCGGCGUCAAGCCGGAGGAAGGCGGGGACGACGUCAAGUCCUCAUGGCCCUUAUGCCCGGGGCUGCACACGUGCUACAAUGGGGCGGACAGAGCGUCGCAACGCCGCGAGGCCGAGCCAAUCGCCGAAACCGCCCCCCAGUUCGGAUCGCGGGCUGCAACCCGCCCGCGUGAAGCCGGAAUCGCUAGUAAUCGCGGAUCAGCACUGCCGCGGUGAAUGGGUUCCUGAGCCUUGUACACACCGCCCGU